AGCGAGGCCCCCCUCCCCUGGGGCUCCUAUGGCGCAUGCCCAGUAGCAGGUAGAAGGCGCGUCCUCCCCGAGUCGGAGCCCCCCUCCCUUCCUUGCCCCAGCGCCUGCGCAGUCGAACCAGGUCUCGGAGAGGAGGUCCCGGCCCACUCCCUCCCCGCCCCCCAGCCCAAGGCCAGGCCCUCACCCUCCGCGAAUGCAGGCAGCCCCGGAGCGCCGCGGGCCACGGCUGCCGAGGUACCUCAGCGCGCGCUCAUUCGCUCGCUCCCUCCGCCACCGCCGCCCGUCACGUCAGUCAGACUUCGGCUGCGGCGGCUCCGGAGCCUCCUCCGCGGGAUCCUGUCACCUGACUCAGGGGAUGAGAUCUACGUAAAGGCACUUCCGGCCCUCUACCGGAAGGGAACGGCGGGCACCGUGGGCGGAGACACCUCCGGCCUGAAGACCAAGGUUCCGCCAGCUGGGACCCAUGUGAGUUGCGGAAGAGGGAAGGACCAGGCCCAGAAUGUCGGGGGAGCUUCUCCCUUUCAGUUCUCUGGCGGUUCUCCUGGAGCAGCCCUGGCGAAGCUUGAUAGACAGGUAAAGCUCCUCAGCAGGGGGAGGGGAGUGCAUGAAGAUUCAAACACACCUGGAUGCUCAAUAAUGACAAAGUACCCACUAUGUGCCAGGCACUGUUCUAAAUGCCGGGGUAACAAAGAAUGACAAAAGACAGUUUCUUCUCAUGGGGAGCCCCCAAUCUAAUGACAAUUAUGGGCACACAAGAUCUACCUGGAGAAAAGGUUCUAAAAGACUUCUUUUAGCUAAGAUUUGAAGGAAGUCAAGGAGGGCAGGAAACAGAGAUAAGGAGGGAGAGAAUUCUAAGCAUGAGAGGCAGUCUGGAAAUGCCCAGUUUGCCCAUUUCCCAUGACCCACUGCUCCUCCAUCUUACCUCGGCAACCCACAAGAGAUGGUGGUACACCCAUUUCUGUGUUCGUGAUUCCCUUGCCCUAGCCCGGUGGUCAUUCCAUCUCUCCCUCUGCCUUACGAUCCCAAGCCCUGUUCUCUAUUUAUCCCCACUGCGGUCCCCCUACUCCUCAGUUCACUCUCUGGCCAUCACUCUUCUACUGGCCUAUCUUGACCUUGAAUGAACCAGUUUAACUCUACACUCCCCCUGAAUGCCUUGUGCCUUUAUGAUAUUAUUGCCAUUUUUGUCCUGCUGAGCCUCAGCCUGGAUUUCCCAUCAGCCAUUGCCUUUGUUUCUAUUUAGGCGCUUGAGAAAAUAAUUAAGUUAUGCUGAUUGUCUUUUCGUGGUAGCAAAGAAUUGGAAAUUGAGGGGUUGUCCAUCAAUUGGGGAGUGGCUGGACUGUUGUAGUAUGUGAUAGUGAUGAAAUACUAUUGUGCUAGAAGAAAUGACAAGCAAGAUGAUUUCAGAAAAAUCUAGAAGGAUUUCCAUGAACUGAUGCAAAGUGAAGUGGGCAGAACCAGAAGAACAUUGUACACAGUAACAGCAAAUUUUUUUUAGUGAACAAUUGAGCAUGCCCAAUUUAUUCUCAGCAAUGCAGUGAUCCAAGAUGAUCCCAGAGACUCAGGAUGAAAAAUGUCAUCUGCCCCAAGAAAGAACUGAUGGAGUCUGAAUGCAGACUGGAACAUACAUUUUGUUUUCUUUCUUCCUUUAAAACUUUUUUAAAAGAUCUCUUCUACAAAAUGAUUAACAUGGGGAAAUGUUGUACAGGAUUGCACAUGUAAAUUCUAUAUUUAAUAGCAUUCUAUAUAUCUAAUAAUUCUAUAUUAAAUAGCAGAUUGCUUACCAAAUCAGGGAAGGGAGAGGGGAGGGAGGGUCAGAAGAAGGGAAAGUGUUUGGAACUCAAAAAUUUUAAAAAAUGAAUGUUAAAAAAUUGUUUUUACAUGCAAUAGAGGGGGAAAGAAAAAAAAGAAAGAAUUGGUGGAGUAUGAAUGUAGGUUCAAGCAUACUAUCUUUUACUUUCUUCAUUUCUUUUUGUUUUCUUCUACAACAUUAUGGAUGGAAAUAUGUUUUAUGGAAAGAUGUUUUACAUGAUUGUACAUGUAUAAUCUAUAUUGGAUUGCUUACCAUCUUAGGGAGGUUUAAAAGGAGGGAAGGAGAAAAUUUGGAGCUCAAAUUAAAAGAAUGUUAAAAUUGUUUUUACAUGUAAUUGAGGAAAAAUAAAAUAUAGUAAAAAUAAAAUGACA
Molecule: long non-coding RNA, 2181 nt
Organism: Monodelphis domestica (gray short-tailed opossum)
Lineage: Eukaryota; Metazoa; Chordata; Mammalia; Didelphimorphia; Didelphidae
Source: Ensembl